GAACGCUGGCGGCGUGCCUAAUACAUGCAAGUCGAGCGAACAGACGAGGAGCUUGCUCCUCUGACGUUAGCGGCGGACGGGUGAGUAACACGUGGAUAACCUACCUAUAAGACUGGGAUAACUUCGGGAAACCGGAGCUAAUGCCGGAUAAUAUAUUGAACCGCAUGGUUCAAUAGUGAAAGACGGUUUUGCUGUCACUUAUAGAUGGAUCCGCGCCGCAUUAGCUAGUUGGUAAGGUAACGGCUUACCAAGGCGACGAUGCGUAGCCGACCUGAGAGGGUGAUCGGCCACACUGGAACUGAGACACGGUCCAGACUCCUACGGGAGGCAGCAGUAGGGAAUCUUCCGCAAUGGGCGAAAGCCUGACGGAGCAACGCCGCGUGAGUGAUGAAGGUCUUCGGAUCGUAAAACUCUGUUAUUAGGGAAGAACAAAUGUGUAAGUAACUAUGCACGUCUUGACGGUACCUAAUCAGAAAGCCACGGCUAACUACGUG
Molecule: ribosomal RNA, 494 nt
Filed under: uncultured bacterium
Lineage: Bacteria
Description: partial 16S ribosomal RNA
Rfam family: Bacterial small subunit ribosomal RNA
Source: RNAcentral